CAGAGAGUAGUUUAAAGUUAGAAUCCUAGCUUUGGGAGCUAGGGGUAGGGGUUAAAGUCCCCUUUCUCUGA
This 71-nucleotide transfer RNA is filed under the name Naucrates ductor. RNAcentral describes it as "tRNA-Pro". It matches the Rfam family "tRNA". From Rfam's summary of the family: Transfer RNA (tRNA) molecules are approximately 80 nucleotides in length. Their secondary structure includes four short double-helical elements and three loops (D, anti-codon, and T loops). Lineage: Eukaryota; Metazoa; Chordata; Actinopteri; Carangiformes; Carangidae. The record is from RNAcentral.